Molecule: long non-coding RNA, 707 nt
Filed under: Pongo abelii (Sumatran orangutan)
Lineage: Eukaryota; Metazoa; Chordata; Mammalia; Primates; Hominidae
Description: lincRNA
Source: RNAcentral
GGCUGUCCAGGAUGGAUGUGGGACCCUCUGUCAGACCAGGCCAGUUCUCUUAAUGUAAGAUCAGCAGGCCAAGGUCCUGGGAUAUGGGAGCUCCCAGGAAGUGGACUGGGAUGCCUGAGGGAUCCAAGAAUUAGCAGUGUCCUGUGUGGUCUCGCUGAGGGAAGCCAGGCAAAAUCUAGCGGCUCAGCUGUAACAGCCGGAGCUCUUGGCUCCAAGCAACAGGAAACAAUUCUGGCUUAUUUAAGCAGAAACGGACUUUAUCAAAAGGAUCUUGGGGAACUCACAAAAUAACCAAGAGGGCUGAAGAAUCCAGUUUGGUGAGUCGACCAAGGAGGCUGCACAGCAGUCAGGACUGCAGCCAAAGUCAGGCAAUCCAGGGAUAACCUCGCUGCCAAGUCCAGGACUCCCUGGCAUACACCGCCACCUUGGGACGUGGAUAUGGUCCCUGUCGCCCCAGGAAAUGGAAUGCCAUUGCCUUGGCGACUGCCACCGUCCACCAGAAUGGACUUCUGUGCUCCUUGCAUCUUUGUAUUAUCAGUUCCCAACUCCAAGCCUUUGAUGGGGGCAUCUGAUGGGUUGAGCCUAAGAAAGACGAAUGCCCACUUUCGGAUUCCAUCUUCUGCUGCGGACGCCUCCGGGACGCGCAGCCGCCCGGCGCAGAGGAAGUCCGGGACGCUGGGGACACCGCCUGGAGCCUCCGCGCAUAG